GAUGAACGCUGGCGGCGUGCCUAAUACAUGCAAGUCGAGCGAACAGACGAGGAGCUUGCUCCUCUGACGUUAGCGGCGGACGGGUGAGUAACACGUGGAUAACCUACCUAUCAGACUGGGAUAACUUCGGGAAACCGGAGCUAAUACCGGAUAAUAUAUUGAACCGCAUGGUUCAAUAGUGAAAGUCGGUUUUGCUGUCACUUCUAGCUGGAUCCGCGCCGCAUUAGCUAGUUGGUAAGGUAACGGCUUACCAAGGCAACGAUGCGUAGCCGACCUGAGAGGGGGAUCGGCCACACUGGAGCGGAGACACGGACCAGACUCCUACGGGAGGCAGCAGUAGGGAAUCUUCCGCAAUGGGCGAAAGCCUGACGGAGCAACGCCGCGUGAGUGAUGAAGGUCUUCGGAUCGGAAAACUCUGUUAUGAGGGAAGAACAAAUGUGUAAGUAACUAUGCACGUCUUGACGGUAACUAAUCAGAAAGCCACGGCUAACUACGUG
Molecule: ribosomal RNA, 497 nt
Filed under: uncultured bacterium
Lineage: Bacteria
Description: partial 16S ribosomal RNA
Rfam family: Bacterial small subunit ribosomal RNA
Source: RNAcentral